Non-coding RNA from Paramuricea clavata, 1078 nucleotides. The record is from the annotation of a GenBank genome assembly. Lineage: Eukaryota; Metazoa; Cnidaria; Anthozoa; Malacalcyonacea; Plexauridae.
CUUCGCCCUUUCCCCACCCUGGUAAUGUUUGUUGAUACUCGGGUUAAUUUCUUUAUUUUUGUUUUAGUUUUGUUUUUUGUUGUUUUGUUUUGGUUGUAUCGGGUUGUUUUUUUUAUUUGUUUUUCUUUAUAGGAUACAAUCUAUAGACUACUAUAGAAUGCGUCCUUUUUUCCACUGAUCAUCAGUGUGACAGGUGCCGGAGGUCUGCCUUGGCAGAAUUGUCAUGGCAAACUCCUAUUGCUACUAUAAUUAGCCUUAUUAUUACGUUUUUUGCUGUUUUGCCAUAGCUGUUUGCCAUUGCUGUUUGCCAGUUUUGCCAUUUGCCAGUUUGCCAUAAAUGUUUGCCAGUGUUUUGCCUAAUGUUUGCCAUUGCGGUCAUUUGCCCGACAAGGCUAGAUCGCCGACUAGCCUUGGCCACCAACGGCACCUACCUCCAAACUCGGAUACUCUGCCGUUAAAGUGAGUUAGUUACCUUUUAUAAAUUUAUUUGAUUUGCUAAGCUAAAUUCAACGAAAAUGUUACACCCCAAUCUGUCAAAUCUAUGAAGACGUACAGCUACUGUUUUUUUUCAUCUUAGAAAACCUGAAGGUUCAACACCAUUUUCUGUUUAUGUACCAUCAUUCCCUUUUAAUUCAUUAUUUAUUAACCAUCCAAAGCAUUUGCCUGGCCAAAUAUGAACCUCAAACCGUUUGCUUUAAUUAUAGUCCGAAGCUCAAUCAAAUCGUUUGAUUUGAAUCAAAUAUAUUGCAUGUUAUUUUUAUGAAUUAUUAAUGAGCAGGAAAACAUAUAGUUUCGUAAACGCGUAGAGCGUGUUGUUUACUAGAAAACAUAUAAUGAAUGUUUAUGAGUGCAAUGGUAGAACUAUUUUCAUUCGGCGAAAGAUGGAAUAUUCAUAACAUCAAAAAUUGAAAAUAAAUCAAUGUUAUCGAUUUGUUAUUGGAUUAGAUACGAAACAAAUAUAUACCUGAGUUGCAUGUACAGUACGAUGUUUAAAAUUAAUAGAAAUCCAACACAUAUGUUCCCAAAUGAUGAGUUAACGCGUUCCAUUGCACGCUCAGCAAAGUAGUAAUUUUUAUUC